AGCUGCCCUGCGCAUCUGCGUUACUAGUCCUGCAAGGGAGGUCACUCUCUCUCUCCUCGUCUCCUUCUCCAGACUUUCGACUCAACGUCUCACCGCUAGUGCUGCGCGUUCCUUCAUAAUGUCCAGCACGAGCCGCUACCCGGCCCUGCCGAGCCGCAUGUCCCUCAUCGCCUUCAAGACGCGUCUGAAAGGUGCGCAGAAGGGGCACAGCUUAUUGAAAAAGAAAGCCGAUGCCCUGGCGCUGCGCUACCGGACGGUGAUGGGUGAGCUGCGCACAGCGAAGCUGGAAAUGGCGAACCAGAUCAAGGGCUCCUACUUCACCAUCACGCAGGCACAGUUCAUUGCCGGAGAUAUUAGCCUUGCCGUGCAGGAGUCGCUCAAGAUCCCGACUUACCGGAUGGAGCUGCAGGUGGAGAACAUCGCUGGCGUGCAGGUGCCGAGUUUUCACACCCAGAACGACGACGCCGUCGACAGCCAAAGCGAUGCUGCGACGGAAUCGCGCCUGAAGUACGGCAACCCGUACUCCACGGGGGCCGUCACCGGCUCCCUCACAGCUGGUCUGGGUAAGGGUGGCGAACAGAUCAAGGAGGCCUACUCCGCCUUCCGACACACACUCUCGCUCCUCGUCAAGAUCGCGUCUCUGCAGACGAGCUGGAUUACGCUCGACAUUGCGCAAAAAGUGACGAACCGCCGCGUGAAUGCUCUGGAGAAGGUAGUGAUUCCGCGCGUGCAGAACACCCUCAGCUACAUCACGUCGGAGCUAGACGAGCAGGAGCGUGAGGAGUUCUUCCGCCUUAAAAUGGUGCAGAAGAAGAAAGUCACGGCAAAGAUCCAGCAGACCGCGCGCCAAGCGGAGACAGCCGGCAUCGAGGCGGAGCGGACGCGGAAGCGCAACCUCCUCAUUGCCCAGCGCGACGGUGGCGUGGCCGAGGCGGACAUGGUGGUGUAAAGCAGUAGAGGGAACACGGCCGCGCACACAAGUUGUUCGAAGCAAAAACGUGUCACUGGGCGAAGUGAAACCGGUAGAACAAGAGGGCCCGCCUCGCCUCCUCCUCCUCUUACGUUUGCGUAGCUGAUGGCUAUGGCACAUCUCCGUGGUUGGCCAGCCGUUUGAUCAACUUUCCCUCUUGGAGUGUGUAUAAGUGCAGGUGUGUGCGUGUGUAUUGGUGGUGCUGAUUAUUGGAUUGGGGUGGAGGAUGGUGUGUCUGAUGGAGUUGUACUCUUUUUCCGAAUGUGUUCCCGGAAGCGGAGCCCUGAUGCUGGGGGGCGGGGAGGUGGCACACCUCAGCGCAUGGUAUCCAGGCUCCAAUGCCCCCACUCUGUGUGUGGGAAAGCUGAGCAGCCCCCUCCCCCCCCCUUCUAUCCCCUGCCAAUGCUGCACCACCUCUGGUGGUGAUGGGGUCAGGUGCCUACGGCGUGGGGAGGUCAGAGCGAUGUACCGCCACUGAUGUCGGCGGCGAGGUCCUGGAUGGCGCUGCGUCUGAGUUACCUGCGACAGCGAACACGUUUGUGCCAUCCCUAUGACUAGGCAGAGUGCCAACGUGACUCGGGCGUCUCCCACCCCCCCCCCGGCCUUCACACCGCCAACUGGUGUGGGGGGCCUGGGCCAACUCGAGGAGGGUGCACCAGGUGGUGGCCGGCAUGAGGGGGGAGCGGAUGUGAGGCGGCCAGCGAGGUAAGGGGGCUGGGUCGAGAGUGUGAGGCAGGGCGCUGUGCAUUCACAUAACCGAGUCAGCGCACUGCUGUACCGACGUGUGUCUACCUGCUGCCUCGCACCACGCAAUGUAGGGUCUGUGGCAGGCCGGUGUUAGAGUGGGGUUGAGCGCACGCUGUGUGUGGCAGCGAAACGGGCACGCUGAAAAGGAAAAGCAAAGCACUUUGAAGCAGAGCUCACCUCCCGCUUCCCUUCCGCCCUCCCCCCCCCCUCCCCAUGGGGUACUGUACUUAGCGACGGUGAAAGCACCAGAAGAAUUGCACAAGAUGUCGAAAAGGGGGGAAUCGACAUCUUCUAGUCGUUGCAUUCCAUUCGAAAAGUGCACGCAAGAGCAUGUACAUGGACGCGGAGGAGCUACGCCAGAGAAGCGGCUGGCCCCCGACGGCAGUGCGAAGGGUGCACCACCGUGCGCUACGGUGACGAGGCACCAUAGCACAUCAUGGCUUCCAGCUAGUGUGGCACUAGCUGUGCAUCUUUUUCACUCCCAACCGACGGGGAGGCGUCCCACAUGACUCCGUCCAUCCGUGGCCUUUUUCUUCUGCUUGUCCAGCAGCGUCCCUUUCUUGCGUUCCUCCUCUACCCUCUUUAACGUAUAUACAUAUAUAUAUAUAUAUAUCCGCUACGCUGCUGCAUCCAUCAUCCGCAG
RNAcentral lists this unclassified non-coding RNA (2360 nucleotides) under Leishmania donovani. RNAcentral's name for it is "gene:LdHU3.35.0830(CDS-product:vacuolar_ATP_synth ase_subunit_d_putative)". Lineage: Eukaryota; Euglenozoa; Kinetoplastea; Trypanosomatida; Trypanosomatidae. The record is from RNAcentral.